AUCGAGCCCCAAGUGCAAGCCCAUGAAAAUCCUCCCGAAGCUGGCCCUGAUACCUGGGUGCUACACGUGGAUGGAUCUUCCAACCCGAUAGGAUUAAGGGUAGGAUUGACUCUUUCGGGUCUGAAAGGCACGAUUGUCGAGUAUGCUUGGGCUUCAAGUUUCUGACAACGAACAAUGAAGCCAAAUAUGAAGCCUUGGUAGUAAGCCUCAUAAUCAUUGAGGAAUUGGGGAUACA
Molecule: long non-coding RNA, 235 nt
Filed under: Elaeis guineensis (African oil palm)
Lineage: Eukaryota; Viridiplantae; Streptophyta; Magnoliopsida; Arecales; Arecaceae
Description: long non-coding RNA (EGUI_LNC014539)
Source: RNAcentral